AUGAAUUGUAGCAUAUCAAAUGCACAAUAUCUCUAAUCUCACAAUAUGAUGAAAGCGGAGCAAUACGAAAGUUUCCUUACUGAAUAUAUAACGAACUCUGGAGCGGAAUUGUUGAAUAAAGACCCAACAGAAAGGGUUGAAGCUAAAAUGAAUAAAUUACUUAAGCACGAAAAAUUCCCAAGGAUAUGGAAAGUAAGAAAACACGAAGGACCUUUGUGUCCAAGGCUUUUUGCAUAUAUCAAGGUCCACAAAGUACCAGUACAUUAUCGGCCUAUAGUAGAAAAGGAGUACGCCCCAACGUACCAUCUAGAGCAAGCCAUUGCUAGCUGGUGUAAU
RNAcentral lists this long non-coding RNA (336 nucleotides) under Androctonus crassicauda. Lineage: Eukaryota; Metazoa; Arthropoda; Arachnida; Scorpiones; Buthidae. The record is from RNAcentral.